AAGACUAUAGACCUGCGGAGUACCUGCGGAGGGAUCAUUAAUGAGUGAGGGUUUUUAUAAAACCCAACCUCCCACCCGUGUUUAUUGUACCUUGUUGCUUCGGUGGGCCCGCCGUAAGGCCGCCGGGGGCUUUAGCCCCGGGCCCGCGCCCACCGGAGACAAACUGAACUCUGUCUGAAUGUUGCAGUCUGAGUAAUAACUUAAUCAGUUAAAACUUUCAACAACGGAUCUCUAGAUCGG
This 240-nucleotide unclassified non-coding RNA is filed under the name soil metagenome. RNAcentral's name for it is "partial contains 5.8S ribosomal RNA, internal transcribed spacer 2, and large subunit ribosomal RNA". The record is from RNAcentral.